GGGGCUACCCGCUGGAGUUUAAGCAUAUCAAUAAAGCGGA
RNAcentral lists this ribosomal RNA (40 nucleotides) under Nanocnide japonica. Its description in RNAcentral is "partial 28S rRNA". Lineage: Eukaryota; Viridiplantae; Streptophyta; Magnoliopsida; Rosales; Urticaceae. The record is from RNAcentral.